GAGUGAAAUAGAGUGGGAUAGAAUGAAAUAGAAUGGAAUGAAAUAAAAUUAAAUGAAAUAGAAAACAAUGAAAUAGAAUAACAUGGAAUGGUAUAGAAUGAAAUGGAAAACAAUGCAAUAGAAUAGAAUAGAAUGGAAUGGAAUAGAAUGAAAUAGAAAACAAUGAAAUAGAACGGAAUGGAAUAGAUCGAAAUAGAAUGGAAUAAAAUGACAUGAGUAUGAAUGGAAUGAAGUUGAAUAUAAUGAGAUGGAAUAUAAUGGAAUGAAGUGGAAUAUAGUGAAAUAGAAUGGAAUAGUAUAAAAUGAAGUAGAAUAGAAUGAAAUAAAAUGGAAUGGAAUAGUAUAAAGUGAAGUAGAAUGGAAUGAAAGAGACUAAAAGAUAAUGGACUAAUUAAACUGAAUAGAAUGAAAUACAGUUGAAAAGAAUAAAAAGAAGGAAUCAGUAGGGUUAAAUACAGAAUAAAAUGAAAUAUAAUUGUACAGAAUAGAAUGGAAUUUAG
Paramuricea clavata is the source of this 500-nucleotide non-coding RNA. NCBI's taxonomy places the organism in Eukaryota, Metazoa, Cnidaria, Anthozoa, Malacalcyonacea, Plexauridae. The record is from the annotation of a GenBank genome assembly.